Molecule: long non-coding RNA, 306 nt
Organism: Hyaena hyaena (striped hyena)
Lineage: Eukaryota; Metazoa; Chordata; Mammalia; Carnivora; Hyaenidae
Exons: 3
Source: RefSeq, a predicted model, not a curated record
CUCACAGACUCCCGGGAGCAGGUGGAAGGGCCGUUUGGAGAGGCCAAAUUCAACGCUCUCCUUUUACCGACAGGAGUCUCAAGAUCUAUCGGUGGGAAAAGAUGGUCACCCCCAAAAUAACACACUGAGGACACACUGAGGAUGUAAUUGGAGUAUUUGCCGUCAUUCCAGGAUCCACAUUUUAAAAAAGAACAUUAGCAAUCCAGAUUACAUGAGCUCCCUUUUCAUUGAAGAUACUCAAGUGGAAUCUGGAUGAAACCUAUUUACUUGACAAGCAGAUACAGAAGGGCCGACCGGAGAGCCUCC